CUACGGAGGGUGCGAGCGUCAAUCGGAAUUACUGGGCGUAAAGCGCGCGUAGGCGGCUUGUUAAGUCAGAUGUGAAAGCCCUGGGCUUAACCUGGGAACUGCAUUUGAUACUGGCAGGCUAGAGUAUGGUAGAGGGAAGUGGAAUUCCGGGUGUAGCGGUGAAAUGCGUAGAGAUCCGGAGGAACACCAGUGGCGAAGGCGACUUCCUGGACCAAUACUGACGCUGAGGUGCGAAAGCGUGGGGAGCAAACAGGAUUAGAUACCCCAGUAGUCC
Molecule: ribosomal RNA, 274 nt
Filed under: uncultured bacterium
Lineage: Bacteria
Description: partial 16S ribosomal RNA
Rfam family: Bacterial small subunit ribosomal RNA
Source: RNAcentral